CAUACAUCCUCUUCCCUGGCAAUUUAAGUGUCUUCCCUAAUCCAAACUGAUCAUUGAGAUUCUCAUAGGCAUGAGAGACCAAGGCUAUAUAACAAAACAAAGAGAGGAAGACAGGCACGCCACUUCUUUGGCCACCUCCUAAUGAUAUGGCAUCUCCCACCUCAGUUCUUCUGGAUUACAUCUUUUCCAAAGCAUAGAGUGCUGUCCUCUGAAGAUGCCGGCCGCAGAGACUGGCGAAACGUUAGGAAGAACAACCUUCAGAACACAGCCAAAGAGCCCGAAAAACCCACAACAACCAUUUCCCAAAACUAUUUGAUUUUGCUUCUGUGUUAAGCCUAAUGUAAGAUGUGGGUGUUUACUUGCUACUCCUUUAAAUUUGUUCUGCAUAUUUGAAAUAUGAAACAAAUAUUAAUUCACAUAUUUUAUUAAGUCUUGCAAAGCUAUUGAAAAAUGUCAGUGUUUCCAUUGGUAAUAGAAAUAGAAAAACGUGCAUACACACAGUUGAUUUCAUCAUGUUAAUUUUGUCAAAAGUUAUAAAUCGGCUAUUGCUAAUCCAAACUAUUACCUGCCUACAUUGAAGUUCAUAGUAGCUGGAAUUAAUACAUGAAGAAAGAGUGCUAACACAUUAUACUUAUUGUUGCAUUAUGUGUGAAUGUUUUCUGUCAGUAACGCGGUAUCAAUUUCUUUUCCUACACAUUCUUUGAGUAUCAAGUAUGUCAGGAUUAUUAGUUCCAACCACAUAUUAGAAAAAUGUUUAUCCAUGCUAAUUAUAAAGGCAGCAGUUUGAAUAGAAACUGUAUGAAAGCCAGAAGCAAAAAUGGGAAUAAACCAAUGAUGCUUUAUUACA
Molecule: long non-coding RNA, 847 nt
Filed under: Pogona vitticeps (central bearded dragon)
Lineage: Eukaryota; Metazoa; Chordata; Lepidosauria; Squamata; Agamidae
Description: lncRNA (ENSPVIG00000012899.1)
Source: RNAcentral